Molecule: ribosomal RNA, 483 nt
Filed under: uncultured bacterium
Lineage: Bacteria
Description: partial 16S ribosomal RNA
Rfam family: Bacterial small subunit ribosomal RNA
Source: RNAcentral
GAUGAACGCUGGCGGCGUGCCUAACACAUGCAAGUCGAACGGAGUCGUUUUGGUAAUCUCUUCGGUGAUGGACUUCUCGACUUAUUGUCGGUCGGGUGAUUCACGCUUGAGCAAUCUGACGUCCAGAGGGGGAUAACAGUCGGAAACGGCUGCUAAUACCGCAUAAAGCAUUUAAUUCGCAUGCUCUUGAUGCCAAAGGAGCAAUCCGCUUUUAGAUGAGCUCGCGUCAGAUUCGCCAGUUGGCGGGGUAACGUCCCACCAAGGCGACGAUAAGUAGCCGGACUGAGCGGUUGAACGGCCACGAUUGGACUGAGACACGGCCGAGGCUCCUACGGGAGGCAGCAGUGGGGAAUAUUGCGCAAUGGGGGAGACCCUGACGCAGCAACGCCGCGUGAUUGAAGAAGGAAUUCGGGUUGUAAAGAACUUUAAUCAGGGACGAAACAAAUGACGGUACCUAAAGAAUAAGCUCCGGCUAACUACGUG